RNAcentral lists this ribosomal RNA (253 nucleotides) under uncultured bacterium. RNAcentral's name for it is "partial 16S ribosomal RNA". It matches the Rfam family "Bacterial small subunit ribosomal RNA", at positions 524 to 776 of the family's 1533-position model. The record is from RNAcentral.
UACGUAGGCAGCGAGCGUUGCUCGGAAUGACUGGGCGUAAAGGGCGCGUAGGCGGCUCAUACAGUCAGGCGUGAAAUUCCUGGGCUCAACCUGGGGACUGCGCUUGAGACGUGUGGGCUUGAGUGGGGAAGAGGGUCGUGGAAUUCCCAGUGUAGAGGUGAAAUUCGUAGAUAUUGGGAAGAACACCGGUGGCGAAGGCGGCGACCUGGUCCUUGACUGACGCUGAGGCGCGAAAGCGUGGGGAGCAAACAGG